This 732-nucleotide ribosomal RNA is filed under the name Macaranga adenantha. Its description in RNAcentral is "eukaryotic LSU rRNA". The stretch from base 318 to 473 matches the Rfam family "5.8S ribosomal RNA". The record is from RNAcentral. Lineage: Eukaryota; Viridiplantae; Streptophyta; Magnoliopsida; Malpighiales; Euphorbiaceae.
AUUUAGAGGAAGGAGAAGUCGUAACAAGGUUUCCGUAGGUGAACCUGCGGAAGGAUCAUUGUCGAAACCUGCCCUGCAGAACGACCCGCGAACACGUUUACAAUAUCAACGGGGGAGCGGGGGGGCUUUUGCUCCCCCCAUCCACCAAUGCUUAUGGGACGGAUGGCGGGCUUCACCCAAACCAUCCCCUCAGAGGCGGAAUAACCAACCCCGGCGCAGGUAGCGCCAAGGAAUAUAAACUAAAAGAGAGCACGCUGCCACAGUCCCUGGAAACGGUGAGACUUGGGCAUGCGUUGUACUCUUUCAAAAAUCAAAACGACUCUCGGCAACGGAUAUCUCGGCUCUCGCAUCGAUGAAGAACGCAGCAAAAUGCGAUACUUGGUGUGAAUUGCAGAAUCCCGUGAAUCAUCGAGUUUUUGAACGCAAGUUGCGCCCGAAGCCUUCCGGCCAAGGGCACGUCUGCCUGGGUGUCACGCAACCAUCACUCCCAACCCUCUUGAAACAUCAAGGGGCACGGGGGCGGAUACUGGCCUCCCGUGUGCCGUGAGGCAAGCGGUUGGCCCAAAAACAGAGUUCCCGGCGAUGGUCGCCACGAAAUUCGGUGGUUGUAAGACCCUCUGACACAGUCGUGAACGAUCGUAUGCCAUAAGGGACCCCCGAGACCCUGAUGCAGGCCUUGAAGGCGUGCUCCAAUCGCGACCCCAGGUCAGGCGGGAAUACCCGCUGAGUUUA